RNAcentral lists this ribosomal RNA (253 nucleotides) under uncultured bacterium. Its description in RNAcentral is "partial 16S ribosomal RNA". It matches the Rfam family "Bacterial small subunit ribosomal RNA", at positions 524 to 776 of the family's 1533-position model. The record is from RNAcentral.
GACAGAGGGGGCAAGCGUUGCUCGGAAUCACUGGGCGUAAAGGGCGCGUAGGCGGGAUGGCAAGUCAGUCGUGAAAUCUCUCGGCUCAACCGAGAAACGUCGGCUGAUACUGCCGUUCUUGAGGGAUGCAGAGGAGACUGGAAUUCCCGGUGUAGCGGUGAAAUGUGUAGAGAUCGGGAGGAACACCGGUGGCGAAGGCGGCUUCCUGGACCGAUACUGACGCUGAGACGCGAAAGCGUGGGGAGCAAACAGG